CAGCUGGGAAGUGCCACGGAUCAUGAUGGCUUGUGGUGGGCAGCUCACGUCUUAUUACGCUAUAUAAACACAAACAACACACCAGACGGAACUAGAUCAAAUAACAGGAGUCAGGGAACCAGGAGCUCAGAUGAAGGCUCUUGCAAAUUUCUCUGCUCCAGUUUUACAGAACACAGUCUGGUCUAGAUUGUCAAUUUGUGUGUUGAGUAGUAGGAGGAAGGUAGGAUGCACGGGAAGUCCUCGUUUCAAAGAUGAAAAAUGUAGCUCAGAGAUGCCAACCCUGUGGUCAUCAUUAAGCAUGUGUGUGUUAGGUACAUGUUUUCCAACAGACACCGAAUUAAACAGUGAUAUUUCAGGUUGGGAAGGUCCUCUGCAGAAGGAAAUGGCAACCUGCUCCAGUAUUCUUGCCUGGAAAACUGCAUGGACAGAGGAGCCUGGUGGGCUACAGUUCAUAGGACCGUUAAAGAGCUGGACACUACUCAGAGACUGAACAACUUCCCCCUACAAUGUCUCCAGCGCCCUCUACUGAAAAUUUUAGCGUCAUGAGAAGUGAAA
Long non-coding RNA from Bos taurus (domestic cattle), 555 nucleotides. The record is from Ensembl. NCBI's taxonomy places the organism in Eukaryota, Metazoa, Chordata, Mammalia, Artiodactyla, Bovidae.